UAAAAAUUAUGAACUUGAUAGCAAGAAGAUUGAAACUAUACUGAUCAUCUGGAAUCAGAUUGAAAGCGGAUCGCAUCACCGGAUCCAUAAUGUAAAAGAAAGCGCAGGUGUAUUUUGACCCAAAUUUCAUUGGCUCCGUUCAUGCCACCAUUGUUAUGCGCAACACAUGGUACACCUUUUUUAUCAUAACCAGACCGUGAACGAUUUGAUAGUAUGAAUAUUCAAGGAUUAUGAUCAGACCGUGAGCGGACCGAGAGCGGAUCGAUAGUGUGUAUCGAGCCUUAUACAGAUAAAAAAUAGUGCAAAGCAUCUUACGCCCGACAGAUCGCCGCCCAGGCACUUGACGGUUCGACGGCCGCGGAACGAUGUUAGAAAAUAUGCAUCGUUACAAUAUUUUGUUGUAAAAAAUAUCAUAUCAGCUAGGAUUCAAAGUUGGAUCUUUUUAUUUUUCAGAAUAGGCAUCUUUAUCAAAUCAACCAUAUUAAGCACAUUCCCGCGGCUCCAGGAGAAUUCCCCCCUUCCAUCCUUUGUGCGUAAGUCUGCCGAGCAGAAUCAAGCUGGUUGAAACGCUCCCUGUGAUUUUGUAACAUGCUGUUGCGACGAACUAUUGCGGCAUAUCAAUGUAUCGCCAAACAAGACUUCGGUCGAGGUAAAGGAGCACAUCUCUAAUCUCGCGAAAAUGUGUUACAAAGCGCACCGCGCUCGACGUCUCGGAAACGAUGCGACGAAGAUGGCAUGCUAUUUGAAACCAUCCUUGGUGCGAUAUAGCUCCCAAGUUUGGAUAUAAAUACAAGUAACAAUGCGAAGUGUCACUACGUUUUUCGAGCUCUUUCGUGUUACGAAUCCGUGCGAGUCUUAACGAGAAGCCGAGUCCUUUAUAUUAAAUUAACGAGAAGCCGAGUUUACAAAUCGAAAUGUUAUCGAAAUUAAUAUGUAGAGACCUCCCACAUAUAUAUAAUACGUUACAUAUACGAUAAAGACAUUAUUCACAUAGCAUAGUGUAUGUAUGCAACACGCUGUUUAUAUCUUACAUUUUACGAUUUCACGAUGGAUAAAAAAUCGAACAUCAAGUUUUGUAUUAAACUUGGGAAAUCUGCCACAGAGACCCUUGAGACUUCGGGAGGCCUAUGGCAAUAAUACCCUAGGUCGAAUCCAAUGUUUUCAAUGGCACUCCCAAUUUCAAAAUAGCCGAACAUCGUUAAAAGACGAGAAAUCUGGACAGCCGCAAGCACUCUCGAAAAUGUCGAAAAAAUGGGUGGGGUCCGUUUGACCACGUUUGCAAUUGACCACCAGUCACUCAUAGCGUUUGAACAGAGGAAAAUCUCUAGACACCGGCCGUUGUGAGUGGCUGUGGUCAAUCGCAACGUGGUCAAACGGGACAUUUCCGAAAAAAAUCACACAGUUCAUUCAGGAAUGAUCGUUGGAUUACGAUCAAAGAAGUUGCU
Pogonomyrmex barbatus (red harvester ant) is the source of this 1445-nucleotide long non-coding RNA. Lineage: Eukaryota; Metazoa; Arthropoda; Insecta; Hymenoptera; Formicidae. The record is from RefSeq and is a predicted model, not a curated record.